CCAUUUUGCUUCCAAUUCCAUCUUGUGCUUUCUUCCCCUCCCAACAAUGAAAGCCCUCACUUAAAACUUAUUCACUUUCUCUAAAACCAACUCUCAAAAGUCUACAUCUUUAAACCCUUUUUCUUUCCAGAGAAUCCAAGCGAAAGCAAAAGCAUCGCGAUUAACUCACAAAGCGAAAGGCUGGAGAGGUGGACGACCGUGGUGGCCACUGCACUUCUGCCUAUUUCCUCUUGACUGCUGAUUACGGCUCCGAGCCCAACGCUCUUGACCCUUUCAUUGAUGUCAAAACGAUUGUUUCUCCAACAACUUAUGCCCAGUGUAGUUUGUCUUAUCUCAUGAGUGACAAGCUCUCAACGAUGCAAUGCAGGCACAAGUAGUUUCCCCAGUUUGGAAACUCUCAAAGACAAGGGGGGAUUCUGCUUUUAAUCACAAGGACUUCAGAACCACAUUUGAGUGUUUUUCACAUGUUAGGUUCUUAUUAUGAUACUUGUGGGAAAUUCUGAGUAGAGGUUUGAUAAGAGUUGCUUUCAUGUUCAUACCAAUAUUUGAAUUUGGCCUUCAAUAGGAUGUUCUUUAUCUGACCUGUUAAAAUAAAUUACUAAACACAACUUCGCACGAAAUUUUGUUUGGUCUUUGGUGUAAGAUAUCCAGUCAGAAUACGAUCGUUGCAUUUUAUCUUCUAAUUAAUGAUAGGAAGAUUUGAAGAAACGAAAUUGGUAAUUUAAGGUAUCUUAGAGUAUUUGAACCCAGUAACUCUACUUGCAUGACUAAUAAAGGGAACAAAACUGAAAGGGAAAAAAAAUUGGUAAAUCCUUAAUUGCUGCUUUCUCUGCAUUUGUUAUCGUUGCUGACGGUUCUAUUUCACUUGCAGUUCAUUGGUUUGGAGCAAUGGUUUCUCCAACAAUUUUUGCCCAGCGUAGUUUGUCUUAUCUCAUGAGUGACCAGCCUCAGGAAGCUAUAAACGAUGCAAUGCAAGCACAAGUAGUUUCCCCAGUUUGGCACCUGCAUGUUAUCUUCAGGCUGUUGCCCUUUCGGCCUUUGGAAUGGAUGGUGCAGCUCAAGCAGCACUUACGGAGGGUACUAUGCUUGAAUCCUAAAGGAGCAAAGCAGUUGGACAGAAGUGAAAAUCUAGGCCGGUCAACAAGGUGCCUAGUUUGCCACUUCUCUCGGUUUGGCUCUCAGCUUAUAUAGCCGCCGAUCAUAAGGUUUAAAACCACUGGAGCCAAAGCUUCAUCAUUUCCAUGGUAUUAGAUUUUGUCAUCUUCCAGCAGUAUAUGUUGUAUUUGAAUUGUUUUAUUUGAUUUGAUUUCCCGUGCAUCAAAUGAUUCGAGUAUAUGAGUUACUUUGACAAAAUAGAAAGAAAAAUAGAAAGUUGUAAAAAACACUGGUAGGGAGGAUGUCAUUCAGAAGCUUGUAAUUUGUGUGUAGAAAGCAUAUAGGAUUCCUGGUGUAUUAUUUAUGAUGAAUUUUAAUAAUAAUUAGUUUGUUAAAUGUUGUCUGAU
This is a long non-coding RNA of Pyrus x bretschneideri (Chinese white pear), 1502 nucleotides long. RefSeq lists it as uncharacterized. The record is from RefSeq and is a predicted model, not a curated record. NCBI's taxonomy places the organism in Eukaryota, Viridiplantae, Streptophyta, Magnoliopsida, Rosales, Rosaceae. The transcript has 2 exons.